UGGGGAAUAUUGGACAAUGGGGGCAACCCUGAUCCAGCAAUGCCGCGUGUGUGAAGAAGGUCUUCGGAUUGUAAAGCACUUUCGACGGGGACGAUGAUGACGGUACCCGUAGAAGAAGCCCCGGCUAACUUCGUGCCAGCAGCCGCGGUAAUACGAAGGGGGCUAGCGUUGCUCGGAAUGACUGGGCGUAAAGGGCGUGUAGGCGGUUUACACAGUCAGAUGUGAAAUCCCCGGGCUUAACCUGGGAGCUGCAUUUGAUACGUGUAGACUAGAGUGUGAGAGAGGGUUGUGGAAUUCCCAGUGUAGAGGUGAAAUUCGUAGAUAUUGGGAAGAACACCGGUGGCGAAGGCGG
This 352-nucleotide ribosomal RNA is filed under the name uncultured bacterium. RNAcentral's name for it is "partial 16S ribosomal RNA". It matches the Rfam family "Bacterial small subunit ribosomal RNA", at positions 355 to 724 of the family's 1533-position model. The record is from RNAcentral.